This 1195-nucleotide long non-coding RNA is filed under the name Triticum aestivum (bread wheat). Its description in RNAcentral is "long non-coding RNA (TAES_LNC024752)". The record is from RNAcentral. Lineage: Eukaryota; Viridiplantae; Streptophyta; Magnoliopsida; Poales; Poaceae.
AGACUUUGCUCCUCCUGUGAACUACUCCAUCUGGAGUGAAGAGAUGAAAUGGCAGAUUUGGCCCACUGAUACAAAGUGAUGCAAUCAUUGAGGGCACUAACAAUCCCAAUUUCCCAAAGGAAGAUAAACUCAUGGUGGUUGGAGUCUGGACGUCUAUUUUUGUCCUGCGAGGAAACAAGACGCGGUUAGUAUUGUGGAAGCAAAUUUUGCAGUCAAAGUAUAUAAAAAGCUGACUAUUCGUGUACAACAAGUUGACUAUUGUAGAAAUCAUGCACGCUUUGCUCAAUAUAUAUGUCAAGAAAUAUACACUGCGAUGUUCAAGUGAAAUUUAUUUAACAUAUGGAACUGAACUGACAGAAAGAGCCUGGGGAGGAACGUGACAGGGUUGAACCAUGACGGAGAUGUCCAUACUAAAUAGUGAGGUUUUUUGUUACCCUAGCCUGUAAUGUGGUAGCUUUUUGCUAUUUACUCCAGUUGUUUCCCUUACUCCCGUUGAACGAAAACCUGCAAACAAGUUGCAGGUUGGAACAAUCACAAGGCAAAACAGACACCCAAAUACUGUCUUAAAACAAAGUGCAGUACGCAAGCUCCCAAGCAGCACCAGCAGCAACAUCAACAACACAUGCAUAUAAUGCGUUAGUGCGCUCACUGCCAGUACAUGUCUUAAAAUUAUGAUGCUCCAUGUUCCUUGUUGCAGUAUAACGCAUCAUAACUUUAAGACAGUAUUUUAGCUAGCCUGGGGAGGAACUGAACUGACAGAAAGACAAUACCUUAGCUAGCUCUGCUGCACACUGCAAUAAUGUCCUUUCGAAAUAAUCUAUUGAUCCUGGAAAUCAAGUGCGGCUUGUUAGCUUGUUAGCUUGGUUGCAGUUUGGUAUACAUAAUUAUAAUAACUGCUCUCUUCUGUUCAGUUCUGAAUUAAACCUCACAAGGAAAUAAUCAAUUAAUAAUCUUGGUUGCAAUCAUCUUUGGACAAAAUUAAAUCUGAUUCCUGCACACUAAGCUUUGCAAUCAUCAUUUUUUUCCUCAAGUUUGAACUGAAGUUGGUACUAAGCCAAAAUAGCUCGCUGUAUUCUAAUUUUAACAGCGCAGUGAAGCAAAAAAAAAGUAUGUGGAACGCAGAAGCAGAAAUCAAGCUGCAGAAGAAGGCUCAGUUCAAGGGGGACAUGCUCACCUGGAUCGGUGCUGCUUGCCG